UACCAUGCACGCGUUUCAGAAAACCC
RNAcentral lists this non-coding RNA (26 nucleotides) under Mus musculus (house mouse). The record is from RNAcentral. Lineage: Eukaryota; Metazoa; Chordata; Mammalia; Rodentia; Muridae.